GGACGCAUAGCUCAGCUGGUUAGAGCACUACGUUGACAUCGUAGGGGUCGUUGGUUCGAGUCCAAUUGCGUCCA
RNAcentral lists this transfer RNA (74 nucleotides) under Oscillatoria sp. SIO1A7. RNAcentral's name for it is "tRNA-Val". It matches the Rfam family "tRNA". Rfam says of the family: Transfer RNA (tRNA) molecules are approximately 80 nucleotides in length. Their secondary structure includes four short double-helical elements and three loops (D, anti-codon, and T loops). Further hydrogen bonds mediate the characteristic L-shaped molecular structure. tRNAs have two regions of fundamental functional importance: the anti-codon, which is responsible for specific mRNA codon recognition, and the 3' end, to which the tRNAs corresponding amino acid is attached (by aminoacyl-tRNA synthetases). tRNAs cope with the degeneracy of the genetic code in two manners: having more than one tRNA (with a specific anti-codon) for a particular amino acid; and 'wobble' base-pairing, i.e. permitting non-standard base-pairing at the 3rd anti-codon position. The record is from RNAcentral. Lineage: Bacteria; Bacillati; Cyanobacteriota; Cyanophyceae; Oscillatoriales; Oscillatoriaceae.